AGGAUGAACGCUGGCGGCGUGCCUAACACAUGCAAGUCGAACGUCCUGUCUCGCAAGAGGCAGGGAGUGGCGGACGGGUGAGUACCACGUGGGUGAUCUACCGUGAGGUGAGGAAUACCGGCGAGAAAUCGCCGACAAGACCGCAUAGCCUCGGUGCAAGCCGAGGAAAGCUUUCUCGAGAGAGGGAGCGCCACACGAGGAGCCUGCGCCCGAUUAGCUAGCUGGUGGAGUAACGGUUCACCAGGGCGACGAUCGGUAGCUGGUCUGAGGGGACGAUCAGCCACACUGGGAUUGAGAACGGCCCAGACUCCUACGGGGGGCAGCAGUGAGGAAUUUUCGGCAAUGGGGGAAACCCUGACCGAGCAACGCCGCGUGCAGGAAGACGGCCUUCGGGUUGUAAACUGCUUUCUUUGGGUACGAGCAAGGACGGUACCAGAGGAAUCAGCCCGGCUCACUACGUGCCAGCAGCCGC
Molecule: ribosomal RNA, 472 nt
Filed under: uncultured bacterium
Lineage: Bacteria
Description: SSU rRNA
Rfam family: Bacterial small subunit ribosomal RNA
Source: RNAcentral